GUCUACGACCAUACCACCCUGAACACACCCGAUCUCGUCUGAUCUCAGAAGCUAAGUAGGGUUGGGCCUGGUUAGUGCUUGGAUGGGAGACCACCUGGGAAUACUAGGUACUGUAGGGG
Ribosomal RNA from Cercocebus atys (sooty mangabey), 119 nucleotides. Lineage: Eukaryota; Metazoa; Chordata; Mammalia; Primates; Cercopithecidae. The record is from Ensembl.